This 2248-nucleotide ribosomal RNA is filed under the name human metagenome. RNAcentral describes it as "bacterial LSU rRNA". It matches the Rfam family "Bacterial large subunit ribosomal RNA", at positions 14 to 2298 of the family's 2925-position model. The record is from RNAcentral.
AGCGUACAAGGUGGAUGCCUUGGCAAUCAGAGGCGAAGAAGGACGUGCUAAUCUGCGAAAAGCUUGGAUGAGUCGAUAAGAGGCGUUUAAUCCAAGAUGUCCGAAUGGGGAAACCCAGUAGAUGAAGAAUCUACUAUCACUUACUGAAUUCAUAGGUAAGUGAGGCGAACCGGGAGAACUGAAACAUCUAAGUACCCCGAGGAAAAGAAAUCAACCGAGAUUUUGUGAGUAGCGGCGAGCGAAAGCGAAAGAGCCUGUUAGUGAUAGCGAUAGAGACAGAGGAACAAGCUGGGAAGCUUGGCGACACAGGGUGAUAGCCCCGUACUCGAAGUCCAGGUCGUGGUACUAAGCUAACGAGAAGUAGGGCGGGACACGUGAUAUCCUGUUUGAAGAUGGGGGGACCAUCCUCCAAGGCUAAAUACUCCUGAUUGACCGAUAGUGAACCAGUACUGUGAAGGAAAGGCGAAAAGAACCCCGGUGAGGGGAGUGAAAUAGAACCUGAAACCUUGUACGUACAAGCAGUGGGAGCCCUUUAAGGGUGACUGCGUACCUUUUGUAUAAUGGGUCAGCGACUUAUAUUUUGUAGCGAGGUUAACCGAAUAGGGGAGCCGAAGGGAAACCGAGUCUUAACUGGGCGUCUAGUUGCAAGGUAUAGACCCGAAACCCGGUGAUCUAGCCAUGGGCAGGUUGAAGGUUGGGUAACACUAACUGGAGGACCGAACCGACUAAUGUUGAAAAAUUAGCGGAUGACUUGUGGCUGGGGGUGAAAGGCCAAUCAAACCGGGAGAUAGCUGGUUCUCCCCGAAAUCUAUUUAGGUAGAGCCUUGAGCGGACACCUUCGGGGGUAGAGCACUGUUUCGGCUAGGGGUCCAUCCCGGAUUACCAACCCGAUGCAAACUACGAAUACCGAAGAGUGAUACUCAGGAGACACACGGCGGGUGCUAACGUCCGUCGUGGAGAGGGAAACAACCCAGACCGCCAGCUAAGGUCCCAAAGUCUAUAUUAAGUGGGAAACGAAGUGGGAAGGCUUAGACAGCUAGGAUGUUGGCUUAGAAGCAGCCAUCAUUUAAAGAAAGCGUAAUAGCUCACUAGUCGAGUCGGCCUGCGCGGAAGAUGUAACGGGGCUCAAAUAUAGCACCGAAGCUGCGGCAUCAGACGAAAGUCUGUUGGGUAGGGGAGCGUUCUGUAAGCGGAUGAAGGUGGUUCGAGAGGGCUGCUGGACGUAUCAGAAGUGCGAAUGCUGACAUAAGUAACGAUAAAACGGGUGAAAAACCCGUUCGCCGGAAGACCAAGGGUUCCUGUCCAACGUUAAUCGGGGCAGGGUGAGUCGGCCCCUAAGGCGAGGCUGAAAAGCGUAGUCGAUGGGAAACGGGUUAAUAUUCCCGUACUUGGAUAAACUGCGAUGUGGGGACGGAGCAGGUUAGGUUAUCGCACUGUUGGAUAUGUGCGUUUAAGUUGGUAGGUGUGAAGUUUAGGCAAAUCCGGACUUCUUUAACACUGAGAGAUGAUGACGAGGCUCUACGGAGCUGAAGUAACCGAUACCACACUUCCAGGAAAAGCCACUAAGCUUCAGGUUUAUCUAAACCGUACUGAAAACCGACACAGGUGGUCAGGUAGAGAAUACUCAGGCGCUUGAGAGAACUCGGGUGAAGGAACUAGGCAAAAUAGCACCGUAACUUCGGGAGAAGGUGCGCCGGCGUAGAUUGUAGUCCCUUGCGGAUGAAGGUUGAACCGGUCGAAGAUACCAGCUGGCUGCAACUGUUUAUUAAAAACACAGCACUCUGCAAACACGAAAGUGGACGUAUAGGGUGUGACGCCUGCCCGGUGCUGGAAGGUUAAUUGAAGAUGUGAGAGCAUCGGAUCGAAGCCCCAGUAAACGGCGGCCGUAACUAUAACGGUCCUAAGGUAGCGAAAUUCCUUGUCGGGUAAGUUCCGACCUGCACGAAUGGCAUAAUGAUGGCCAGGCUGUCUCCACCCGAGACUCAGUGAAAUUGAAAUCGCCGUGAAGAUGCGGUGUACCCGCGGCUAGACGGAAAGACCCCGUGAACCUUUACUAUAGCUUGACACUGAACAUUGAAUUUUGAUGUGUAGGAUAGGUGGGAGACUUUGAAGUAGUCACGCCAGUGAUUAUGGAGUCGUCCUUGAAAUACCACCCUUUAACGUUUGAUGUUCUAACGAAGAUUACGAAACGUGGUCUCGGACAGUGUCUGGUGGGUAGUUUGACUGGGGCGGUCUCCUCCCAAAGAGU